UACGGAGGGUGCGAGCGUUGUCCGGAAUCACUGGGCGUAAAGGGCGCGUAGGCGGCCUGAUAAGUAGGGGGUGAAAUCUUGCGGCUUAACCGCAAGGCUGCCUUCUAAACUGUCGGGCUAGAGCACAGUAGAGGCAGGUGGAAUUCCCGGUGUAGCGGUGGAAUGCGUAGAGAUCGGGAAGAACAUCAGUGGCGAAAGCACUCUGCUGGGCCGACACUGACACUGAGAGACGAAAGCUAGGGGAGCGAAUGGG
This 253-nucleotide ribosomal RNA is filed under the name uncultured bacterium. RNAcentral's name for it is "partial 16S ribosomal RNA". It matches the Rfam family "Bacterial small subunit ribosomal RNA", at positions 524 to 776 of the family's 1533-position model. The record is from RNAcentral.